This 435-nucleotide ribosomal RNA is filed under the name uncultured bacterium. Its description in RNAcentral is "bacterial SSU rRNA". It matches the Rfam family "Bacterial small subunit ribosomal RNA", at positions 958 to 1392 of the family's 1533-position model. The record is from RNAcentral.
AACGCGAAGAACCUUACCAAGGCUUGACAUACACCAGAACACCGUAGAAAUACGGGACUCUUUGGACACUGGUGAACAGGUGGUGCAUGGUUGUCGUCAGCUCGUGUCGUGAGAUGUUGGGUUAAGUCCCGCAACGAGCGCAACCCUCGUUCUAUGUUGCCAGCACGUAAUGGUGGGAACUCAUGGGAUACUGCCGGGGUCAACUCGGAGGAAGGUGGGGAUGACGUCAAAUCAUCAUGCCCCUUAUGUCUUGGGCUUCACGCAUGCUACAAUGGCCGGUACAAAGGGCUGCAAUACCGUGAGGUGGAGCGAAUCCCAAAAAGCCGGUCCCAGUUCGGAUUGAGGUCUGCAACUCGACCUCAUGAAGUCGGAGUCGCUAGUAAUCGCAGAUCAGCAACGCUGCGGUGAAUACGUUCCCGGGCCUUGUACACACCG